Molecule: microRNA precursor, 116 nt
Filed under: Drosophila virilis
Lineage: Eukaryota; Metazoa; Arthropoda; Insecta; Diptera; Drosophilidae
Description: microRNA dvi-mir-9708b precursor
Source: miRBase by way of RNAcentral
AGCUUUUGCUUGGCAUAUUGGCAGACGAAUUGCGGGCAUGUCCAAGACAUAUAAUUUAUAUUUGAACUUAUAUGUUUUAGACGUGUUCAGGAUUAGUCUCUCAUUAGUCCACCUCC